RNAcentral lists this unclassified non-coding RNA (209 nucleotides) under uncultured Thanatephorus. Its description in RNAcentral is "sequence contains ITS1". The record is from RNAcentral. Lineage: Eukaryota; Fungi; Basidiomycota; Agaricomycetes; Cantharellales; Ceratobasidiaceae.
UUGAAUUAAAUGUGGAGUUGGUUGUAGCUGGCCUUGAUUCAUUUUCUAGGCAUGUGCACACCUUCUCUUUCAUCCACACACACCUGUGCACCUGUGAGACAGUUAGGGUGGGAGGACUUUAUUGGACUCUCUCCCUCUCUGUCUACUCAAUUUUUACACAAACUCAAUUUAUUUUAAAAUGAAUGUCAUUGAUGUAACGCAUCUAAUAC